AAGGAUCAUUACAGAGUUCAUGCCCUCACGGGUAGAUCUCCCACCCUUGAAUAUUAUACCUUAGUUGCUUUGGCAGGCCGGGGCAACCCCCGGGGCUUCGGCCUUGGUGUGCCUGCCAGAGGAAACAAACUCUGUUUUUAGUGAUGUCUGAGUACUAUAUAAUAGUUAAAACUUUCAACAACGGAUCUCUUGGUUCUGGCAUCGAUGAAGAACGCAGCGAAAUGCGAUAAGUAAUGUGAAUUGCAGAAUUCAGUGAAUCAUCGAAUCUUUGAACGCACAUUGCGCCCCGUGGUAUUCCGCGGGGCAUGCCUGUUCGAGCGUCAUUUCAACCCAUCAAGCUUCGGCUUGGUCUUGGGGCCUGCGAUUCCGCAGCCUCUAAACCCAGUGGCGGUGCCUCCGAGCUCUGAGCGUAGUAAUUCUUCUCGCUAUAGGGUCUCGGUGGUGUCUUGCCAGUAACCCCCAAUUUUUUACAGGUUGACCUCGGAUCAGGUAGGGAUACCCGCUGAACUUAAGCAUAUCAAUAAGCGGAGGAAAAGAAACCAACAGGGAUUACCUCAGUAACGGCGAGUGAAGCGGUAACAGCUCAAAUUUGAAAUCUGCCGCAAGGCCGAGUUGUAAUUUGUAGAAGAUGCUUUGGGUAUGGCCCCGGUCUAAGUUCGUUGGAACACGACGUCAUAGAGGGUGAGAAUCCCGUAUGUGACUGGGUGCUUUUGCCUAUGUAAAGCUCUUUCGACGAGUCGAAUUGUUUGGGAAUGCAGCUCAAAAUGGGUGGUAUAUUUCAUCUAAAGCUAAGUAUUGGCCAGAGACCGAUAGCGCACAAGUAGAGUGAUCGAAAGAUGAAAAGCACUUUGGAAAGAGAGUUAAACAGUACGUGAAAUUGUUGAAAGGGAAGCGCUUGCAACCAGACUUGCACGCUGUUGAUCAUCCAGGCUUCUGUCUGGUGCACUCGGCAGCGUUCAGGCCAGCAUCGGUUCUGGUGGUGGGAUAAAGGCCUCGGGAAUGUAGCUUCUUUCGGGGAGUGUUAUAGCCCUCGGUGCAAUGCCGCCUAUCGGGACCGAGGACCGCGCUUCGGCUAGGAUGCUGGCGUAAUGGUUGUAAGCGACC
RNAcentral lists this ribosomal RNA (1104 nucleotides) under uncultured Lemonniera. Its description in RNAcentral is "eukaryotic LSU rRNA". The stretch from base 476 to 1104 matches the Rfam family "Eukaryotic large subunit ribosomal RNA", at positions 1 to 649 of the family's 3401-position model. Lineage: Eukaryota; Fungi; Ascomycota. The record is from RNAcentral.